CUUAGAGGAGCUCCUAACCAAGGUGUUAACAUCAACCAGACCUUAGAGGAGCUCCUAACCAAGGUGUUAACAUCAACCAGACCUUAGAGGAUCUCCUAACCAAGGUGUAAACAUCAACCAGACCUUAGAGGAUCUCCUAACCAAGGUGUUAACAUCAACCAGACCUUGGAGGAGCUCCUAACCAAGGUGUUAACAUCAACCAGACCUUAGAGGAGCUCCUAACCAAGGUGUUAACAUCAACCAGACCUUAGAGGAGCUCCUAACCAAGGUGUAAACAUCAACCAGACCUUAGAGGAUCUCCUAACCAAGGUGUAAACAUCAACCAGACCUUAGAGGAUCUCCUAACCAAGGUGUUAACAUCAACCAGACCUUGG
RNAcentral lists this long non-coding RNA (374 nucleotides) under Salmo salar (Atlantic salmon). RNAcentral's name for it is "lncRNA (ENSSSAG00000101949.1)". The record is from RNAcentral. Lineage: Eukaryota; Metazoa; Chordata; Actinopteri; Salmoniformes; Salmonidae.